Bubalus bubalis (water buffalo) is the source of this 559-nucleotide long non-coding RNA. RefSeq lists it as uncharacterized. NCBI's taxonomy places the organism in Eukaryota, Metazoa, Chordata, Mammalia, Artiodactyla, Bovidae. The record is from RefSeq and is a predicted model, not a curated record. The transcript is spliced from 2 exons.
GCAUCCAUAGUGAGAGCUCUCUGGUUUAUAUAUUCAUUGCUCCUCCUAAACAUAGCUUUGCACUGGGGAUGUCAGAACUCGCCAAGAGGAAGACUCUGGUGUCAGUCACAGGCUGGGUCAAGACCAGCCCUCCUGUGAUGCUGGUCAGAUCUUCAUACUAAAUUGACAGCACCAAUCAGACUCUCAUUGCCUUUUACUGGAGACUUGGACAUAUUUACAGCCAGCUAAAUUAAGAUCAUCUCUGCUUAUCAGAGAGAUCAUAAAAACACUGAGCCUCAAAAGGUAAAGAGAUCAGAAAAUACAUAUUUAAGAGUCAAGCCAUUAGAGGCCUUCCUUGAGAUGAGAGAUUCUCCUGGUGGCCUUGAAGAAGCAGGCACCCAUGAGUUCUACAGCAGUGAGAAAAGAAUUUUGUCAACAACCAUAUGAGCUUAGAAGACCCUGAGCCUGGAAUGAACCCCCAAUCCUGCAGUCCCUUUGAGAUCCUGAACAGGGGACCGAGGUUGUCUUAUGCCUUAACUCCUGACCCAUGAAAACUGUACAAUAAUAAACAUGUACUCUU